GGGACCGUGGUGUAGGGGUAAACGUGGUUGCCUCUCACCCAGUCGGCUUGGGUUCGAUUCCAGACGGUCUCG
RNAcentral lists this transfer RNA (72 nucleotides) under Culex quinquefasciatus (southern house mosquito). It matches the Rfam family "tRNA". Rfam says of the family: Transfer RNA (tRNA) molecules are approximately 80 nucleotides in length. Their secondary structure includes four short double-helical elements and three loops (D, anti-codon, and T loops). Further hydrogen bonds mediate the characteristic L-shaped molecular structure. tRNAs have two regions of fundamental functional importance: the anti-codon, which is responsible for specific mRNA codon recognition, and the 3' end, to which the tRNAs corresponding amino acid is attached (by aminoacyl-tRNA synthetases). tRNAs cope with the degeneracy of the genetic code in two manners: having more than one tRNA (with a specific anti-codon) for a particular amino acid; and 'wobble' base-pairing, i.e. permitting non-standard base-pairing at the 3rd anti-codon position. Lineage: Eukaryota; Metazoa; Arthropoda; Insecta; Diptera; Culicidae. The record is from Rfam by way of RNAcentral.